Molecule: long non-coding RNA, 363 nt
Organism: Daktulosphaira vitifoliae (grape phylloxera)
Lineage: Eukaryota; Metazoa; Arthropoda; Insecta; Hemiptera; Phylloxeridae
Exons: 3
Source: RefSeq, a predicted model, not a curated record
UGCUAAAGCGAGAUACCCAAAUACUUGCAUAGAAAUCAUAUUCGAAAAACACCUGAUGACUAAAAAAAACAUCAUACAAGUAUCAUAUUUUGAUAAGUUCCUCCCUCAUUUAAAACUUCUGGACAGUUCAAGUAAAAGUAUACCGAAAGAAUAGCUGCGGAAGACAGAUAUCUAAAUUAAUGAAUCACUUAUGAAAACUUUGAUAUCUAUAUUAUACCAUUACAAAUAAAGAUAUAAAUAAGAUAUAUUAAUACACCUAAGAUUAGUUUAGUAGAAACUAUAGAAUAUAGUUCAUACAUUGUGUGUUAUGUUCAACUACGUGCUUUGUAUUUUCAUGUCAAAAUUAAAAAAAAAAAAAAAAAU